This 840-nucleotide ribosomal RNA is filed under the name Neobacillus soli. RNAcentral describes it as "bacterial SSU rRNA". It matches the Rfam family "Bacterial small subunit ribosomal RNA", at positions 65 to 885 of the family's 1533-position model. The record is from RNAcentral. Lineage: Bacteria; Bacillati; Bacillota; Bacilli; Caryophanales; Bacillaceae.
AGCGAAUGCAAUGGGAGCUUGCUCCCGUUGGUUAGCGGCGGACGGGUGAGUAACACGUGGGCAACCUGCCUGUAAGACUGGGAUAACUUCGGGAAACCGGAGCUAAUACCGGAUAAUUCUUUUCCUCUCAUGAGGAAAAGCUGAAAGUCGGUUUCGGCUGACACUUACAGAUGGGCCCGCGGCGCAUUAGCUAGUUGGUGAGGUAACGGCUCACCAAGGCGACGAUGCGUAGCCGACCUGAGAGGGUGAUCGGCCACACUGGGACUGAGACACGGCCCAGACUCCUACGGGAGGCAGCAGUAGGGAAUCUUCCACAAUGGACGAAAGUCUGAUGGAGCAACGCCGCGUGAGCGAUGAAGGCCUUCGGGUCGUAAAGCUCUGUUGUUAGGGAAGAACAAGUACCGGAGUAACUGCCGGUACCUUGACGGUACCUAACCAGAAAGCCACGGCUAACUACGUGCCAGCAGCCGCGGUAAUACGUAGGUGGCAAGCGUUGUCCGGAAUUAUUGGGCGUAAAGCGCGCGCAGGCGGUCCUUUAAGUCUGAUGUGAAAGCCCACGGCUCAACCGUGGAGGGUCAUUGGAAACUGGGGGACUUGAGUGCAGAAGAGGAAAGCGGAAUUCCACGUGUAGCGGUGAAAUGCGUAGAGAUGUGGAGGAACACCAGUGGCGAAGGCGGCUUUCUGGUCUGUAACUGACGCUGAGGCGCGAAAGCGUGGGGGAGCAAACAGGAUUAGAUACCCUGGUAGUCCACGCCGUAAACGAUGAGUGCUAAGUGUUAGAGGGUUUCCGCCCUUUAGUGCUGCAGCUAACGCAUUAAGCACUCCGCCUGGGGAGUACGG